RNAcentral lists this ribosomal RNA (309 nucleotides) under uncultured bacterium. RNAcentral describes it as "partial 16S ribosomal RNA". It matches the Rfam family "Bacterial small subunit ribosomal RNA", at positions 504 to 807 of the family's 1533-position model. The record is from RNAcentral.
AGAGACAGCAGCCGCCGCGGGAAAACAGAGGGUGCGAGCGUUAAUCGGAUUUACUGGGCGUAAAGCGUGCGUAGGCGGCUUCUUAAGUCGGAUGUGAAAUCCCUGAGCUUAACUUAGGAAUUGCAUUCGAUACUGGGAAGCUAGAGUAUGGGAGAGGAUGGUAGAAUUCCAGGUGUAGCGGUGAAAUGCGUAGAGAUCUGGAGGAAUACCGAUGGCGAAGGCAGCCAUCUGGCCUAAUACUGACGCUGAGGUACGAAAGCAUGGGGAGCAAACAGGAUUAGAUACCCCUGUAGUCCCUGUCUCUUAUAC